CGGCCCUGUUUCCGUUACAAUCGUGCGGACUUGACGGACCCACAACGGCGAUUGUAUUGGCGAACCACCGGGGAAACGCGAAGAGGAAGGGGUUUCUGAAUGUCGGUUUAGUGAGCUCAUGCACGAGCUCAUCAACGUAAGGAUCUGUCGCGGUAGUACAUCCAAAAAUGGCGUUCCUUGCGUAGCCGUAACCCAUCGUCGUCAUUAUCGUCAUCGUUCUCAUUGUUGUCGUUGUCAUUAUCGUAAUUGUUUUUGGGUCGUUAUUGUUGUUAUUGCCGCCGCCUUCGCCCAACUUGAUGUUUAUCAACGUCGUCACUAUCCGUUAGUGUUUGCUGAAUUACCUGGUGGAGUCGCAAGGCGCCAGUUUGAGGAAAAGUCUAACUAGAAAUACGAAAAUGCAGUCGACUGAACAACUACGACCGGAUCAAUUAGUGGGCUUGGUGGCCCGUUCGGCCGAAGGUACAGCGGCCAAAGGAAUGCCGAUCAAAGGGCACGAGGACCUUUGGGUGGAGAUCCAGGCUAACACCUUCCGAAACUGGGUGAACGAACAUUUGAAACACGCUGGUGAUGUAGGCGGUGGGCCCGUUCUGGAUCUCGCCGAGGAUUUUAGAGAUGGUACGCGUCUUUGUGCUCUGGUCGAAGUUCUUACGCAACGCCGUCUAUCGCGAUGGAAUCCGAAGCCGGCGAAUCAACAUCACCAUCUAGAGAACGUGUCAACGGCAUUGCAGGCCAUCGAAGCUGAUGGUGUUAAACUUGUCAAUAUUGGUAACGUGGACAUAGUAAACGGCAAUCUAAAGUUGAUCUUGGGCUUGAUAUGGUCCCUCAUCGUGCGAUAUCAAAUAGGCAAAUCCAAGUUCCCGCCAAGGAAACUCAUGCUCUCAUGGCUCAAGGCUGUCCUACCGGAAUGUAGAGUGAACAAUUUUACGACCGACUGGAACUCUGGCGUAUACUUGAGCGCACUUUUGGACUACUGCAAACCUGGUCUAUUCCCGUAUUGGCGGCAGCUCGAUCCAAAUGACAGUGUUUACAACUGUCGCAAAGCUAUGGAGAUAUCGAAACGAGAGUUCGAUAUUCCGAUGGUAUUGGAGCCAGAGUACCUCGCGUCACCUUAUUUGGACGAACUCUCGGGGAUGACCUACUUGUCAUAUUUCAUGAAGGAAGGUUCGCCAGGCUUCCAUGCAACGCUACGAUGGGUCAAUUCGCAAUUAUUACAUACCUCUAUACGGAACUUCACGACUGACUGGAACGACGGUAGAACGCUGUGCGAAAUUAUUCGAAACUUGGGCGGUUCAGCGCCGCCCUAUGAAAAACUCGGUACGAACCCCGCUGCCUGGGAACAUAAUUUGCAAAUGGGUAUCGAUGGCGGUAAAAAAUUAGGUGUAGAACCGAUUCUGAAAGCGAAAGACAUGGCGGAUCAGAAUGUAGAGCAUUUAGGUGUGAUGGCGUACGCGGCGUAUUUUCAGUGGGUGAAGCCUCGUCCUCAAGCAAGCCAACAGAUUGCUGUACACAUCGAUAGCACAUCUGCCCGAAUACAACAACCGGCACAUUUCAAAUUGGAAAUGCUCACCAAAGAUGUGAACGUAAGGGAUGUGCGCGGCGAAAUUAUUAGUCCCAGUGGGCGUGUGGAGUGCAGACUUACGUGGAAUGGAAUUCAUGGCAAAGGCACUUUCAUACCUACGGAAGUUGGCAUGCACAAGCUGAUGGUGUACAACGACGACGAGCUAGUGAAUGGGUGUCCAUAUUACUUCAGGGUUUUGCCACGUCUAACGAAAAUUAGAUCCCCGGGCAUGGAUCCUUGCGCCAUAGAAUCUAUUGUUGAAGUUCUAGUCAACAGUUACGAAUCUGAUCUUCUACAUUUAGGAACUAGUCAUGAUGGUAUUGACGUGACCGCGUGGUCUCCAACUGGUAGAUCUCUACCGUGUCCCGUCAAGGAAAAAGAUAGCGUGCACACGGCGACUUUUCAGCCUGACGAGACGGGAGAGUGGAGCAUCGCGAUAACGCACAAGGGAAAUCAUAUACAAGGUGGACCCUUCACUUGCUUCGUCUUCGAUCCUAAUGGUAUCAAGCUCUUGGACACUGACGGCGCCAUACCGGGACAACCAUUUUACUUCACCAUCGAUGCACGAGGAACUGGUGGUCUGGGCGACGUAAUUAUCGACAUUGUCCAUGAUAAGCAAUCGCUGACCCAUAGGAUGGAAGACUUUGGUCAUAUGCAGUACCGAGUAUCUUUCGUACCUAAGAAUGCCGGUAAAUAUCGGGUGUAUGUAUACUUCAAUGGUUCGGACGUACGCGGUUCACCAUUCUCCAUACGAGUCGGCACGCAGAAAGGAUCCCGGAGAUCGAAGGAAUCUACGUCCAGCUUGGAGCGAUCCAAAGUAUCAUCGCUGGAACGACGAAUGAAUGACUUGAACAUCUCCGCGACCGAACAGGCCAGUCCGACCCAGAAGAUGUACACGUCGACCGUAUAUAAAUCCAUUAGCCCAAUGCAACGUAGCUACUCACCCAUCCAUCAGGCCAACUCCGCCUACAAAACAUCGAGCAGUAAUUACGCAACUGAGAAUACCAUCGCUUCGACGUACCACAACACUCGUUCGCCAAAUCACUUGAGCUCUCACAGCCCCGUGCAGAGGAACAUGCAUAGUCCAGCGAUACUUAAAGAGACAAAUGAGAUUUAUAAUAGCGUGUACAACCAUCGCUCAAGAUCGCCAAAUCAACAGAGCCCUCUCGAUUUCAUGAAAGAAUCCAAGGAUAUAUAUUCGUCCGACGUGUUAAACAGUUCGCGAUCACCGGACCUAAACUCGAGCGCACACGUCAUUAAGGAAUCUAAGGACAUCUAUAAUUCGGGAUCUCUGAAGAGAUCACGCUCACCUAUUCACAGUCCGAUGGCGUAUCACAGCGUUACGCAGAACCCGGGCAAUCGCAGUUUCAGUCCAAGAAAUGGCGAUGAUUGGGAUGUUUCAACGUCCAAUAGGCGCAUAUUCGUGGACAACAGUGUUGUAGAUACCAGUAGCAACGUACGAGUUUCAUCAAUGAUCAGCGGCACUUCCAGGCGUGACUCAUGGGACGCGAUUGCCAAAACGAAAUCAUUGUUGUCAUAUGGCAGCCUGGAGUCUUUAGCAAAUCUGACCAACACGGAGAAUCGCGUUGGCAGCCCGAGCAGCAGGGCUCUCAACAACAAUUAUAAGAAUGCACAAAGCUAUCCUGUGAAGAAUGUUUCGUCACACGAGUCUACGUCUAUCAAUUACUCGUCUACGCAGAAAUCAUUAAAUUCCGAUUACGGUACCGCGAAGAAGAAUAAUAAUAAUGAUUUAGCAAGCCAGACGCCUGCUCGUUAUACCCACGGCAUUUUAAAGAAUAAGAACAACAAUUAUGGGAGGGGCAUCGACGUGACGGAUACCGCAACGCGCGACAGAUAUCUGAACAAUAAUAGUCCUGCCUAUGUGUCAACGUCGAUAUCAUCAAUCGACAAGAGUGGCUCGAUUGUCGCCACCGGAAGCGCAUUGGAGACGCUGUCGGUGCACCGGCCGACUAUUUUCAGCAUCAAUUCCGAUGUAGACCCGGACAUGGUUUCCGUCACCGUCACUGGUCCUACUGGCAAAACUGUGCCAUUACAGAGGUCAAAGCUGCGAGGUCUGACAUAUAGCAUCACUGCCGAGGAAAUCGGUGAGCACAUCAUCCAGGUUCUGGCGAAUGGUCAACACAUCAAGGGAUCACCUUUCAGAUCUCAAGCAUAUAAUGCCCGAGCUAUGCAAGUUGGCAACAUCCCAAAUGGAAUAGUAAAUGAACCGGUGGAAUUUGAAAUUGAUGGAUCGAAAGCUGGCUCGGGAAAUUUGGAGAUCCUUGUAAACGGAGGACACGUCACGAGUUUUGUAAGAGCGCUAGGUAAUCAGCGUUUCUUAGCAUCGUUCGUACCACACGAAGCGGUUACGCACUUGGUCGAGAUGACAUUCAACGGAGAGAUCAUCCCUGGAUCACCUUGGCGAGUUGGCAUCAUGCCUGUACCCAAGAUGUCAGUGAUCGGUGAUUCCAUCAGAUUGGUUCCUGCCGGCAGUCCUGCUGUCUUUGAAUUGUCAGCGUUAGGUUUCAACAUUAGUGAGAUCGAUGUUCAAAUCAUAACACCUUCAAAGAAGCACAUUCCUGCAAAAAUUGACGAGGAAUUGGGUCGAUCUGGCGAGUUCCGUGUUGAAUUCACACCAACCGAAGUGGGCAGUCACCUCGUGGAAGUGAGCAUUGCAGGACAAAAGCUACCGGCAGGACCUCUUGUCGCCAAAGUAUACAAUAGCAGUCUGAUCCAAGUUACUGACGUACCUAGCGCCGUAGUUGGUCAUGCUUGUCAGUUUAGAGUGGAUGCCAGCGCUGCUGGAGAAGGCCAACUAGAGAUUUCCAUAAACGAAGGAGAAGUACCGAAUCAUGUGCAAGUAGUAGGUGGUGGUCGUUGUCUCGUGUCUUUUACUCCCGAAGUCGCUAAACCUCAUUACAUUGACAUAAAAUUCAACGGAGAAGCAGUACGCGGAUGUCCCUUUGUCUGCAACGUGUCCGAUACGAGCAGAGUUACACUCGGCUUGAAUCACUUGGAAUUAAUACCAGUUGAUGAGCCUGCCAGCUUUCAUAUGGGAGUUGACGGAAGCGGCAGUGCAGAACUCGCGGUUUCUGUAAGAGGACCGAAUAGUGAAUUGCCAGUUAAAGUUACUGGUGACAUAAGCAGCGGUUUUACCGCAGAGUUUAUACCGAGGGACGUGGGUGUACAUUCAAUUAGCGUGGAAUACAAUGGCUAUCCUGUAAAUGGCACGCCGUUUUUAGCCAAGGCGUUCAACGCGGAUAAAGUGCUGAUCGGGUCUGUAGCUCGAGGCAGCGUCGGCCAACCAAUCCAUUUUACUGUCGACGCGAGUCAAGCCGGUGAAGGAAAUUUAGAGAUCACGAUAUCGGCUCGCGGUCAAAAUAUACCAACGCAAGUAACACCACAGGGAAAUGCACGAUUUUCCGUCAGUUUCGUACCGUUUGAAGCGUGCGAGCACGUUAUCAAUAUAGCCUUUAAUAAGAAAACCGUGCCAGGAUGUCCUAUAAUGACACGAGUCGGUGGUGAUAGCCACGUAACUGUGAGUGGCCAGGCAUUGAGCAGCGCUGGAUUAGGACGGCAAAGUUAUCUGACCGUCAGUAACGUUGCCGGUAGCUUGGAGGAUUUAGAAGUUAAUGUUGAAGGUCGGCCAGCUUUCAGACUACGACAUUACUAGACUUCUCAAAAACUAAUUUCACUCUUAUCUUAACUUAUGGACUAUAACGAAAUACACGUACGGUGGGCCCAACGGACAGGCCGUACCUGCUCAAGUCACUGACAACAAAGAUACUACAUGCAGCGUGGCGUUUACGCCGAGAGUCGUCGGUGAACACCGAAUAUCGGUGAGUCACCGGAACGUUCCGGUAGUUGGCAGUC
This 5431-nucleotide unclassified non-coding RNA is filed under the name Ooceraea biroi (clonal raider ant). Its description in RNAcentral is "filamin-A, transcript variant X5". The record is from RNAcentral. Lineage: Eukaryota; Metazoa; Arthropoda; Insecta; Hymenoptera; Formicidae.